GCCAGACUCCUACGGGAGGCAGCAGUGGGGAAUAUUGCACAAUGGGGGAAACCCUGAUGCAGCGACGCCGCGUGAGUGAAGAAGUAUUUCGGUAUGUAAAGCUCUAUCAGCAGGGAAGAAAAUGACGGUACCUGACUAAGAAGCCCCGGCUAACUACGUGCCAGCAGCCGCGGUGAUACGUAGGGGGCAAGCGUUAUCCGGAUUUACUGGGUGUAAAGGGAGCGUAGACGGCAGAGCAAGUCUGAAGUGAAAGCCCGCUGCCCAACUGCGGGACUGCUUUGGAAACUGCCCGGCUAGAGUGCUGGAGAGGUAAGCGGAAUUCCUAGUGUAGCGGUGAAAUGCGUAGAUAUUAGGAGGAACACCAGUGGCGAAGGCGGCUUGCUGGACGAUGACUGACGUUGAGGCUCGAAAGCGUGGGGAGCAAACAGGAUUAGAUACCCGAGUAUG
This 447-nucleotide ribosomal RNA is filed under the name uncultured bacterium. RNAcentral's name for it is "bacterial SSU rRNA". It matches the Rfam family "Bacterial small subunit ribosomal RNA", at positions 330 to 793 of the family's 1533-position model. The record is from RNAcentral.